This 489-nucleotide ribosomal RNA is filed under the name uncultured Chloroflexota bacterium. RNAcentral describes it as "bacterial SSU rRNA". It matches the Rfam family "Bacterial small subunit ribosomal RNA", at positions 224 to 704 of the family's 1533-position model. The record is from RNAcentral. Lineage: Bacteria; Bacillati; Chloroflexota.
GAGGGGCUCGCGGCCUAUCAGCUAGUUGGCGGGGUAACGGCCCACCAAGGCUAUGACGGGUAGCUGGUCUGAGAGGACGACCAGCCACACGGGGACUGAGACACGGCCCCGACUCCUACGGGAGGCAGCAGUGGGGAAUUUUCCGCAAUGGGCGAAAGCCUGACGGAGUGACGCCGCGUGUGGGACGAAGGCCUUCGGGUCGUAAACCACUGUCAGUGGGAAAGAUGGGUGUCGGCGCUAAUACCGCCGGCAUCUGACGGUACCUGCAGAGGAAGCCCCGGCCAACUCUGUGCCAGCAGCCGCGGUAAGACAGAGGGGGCAAGCGUUGCUCGGAAUUACUGGGCGUAAAGGGCGCGUAGGCGGGAUGGCAAGUCGGCCGUGAAAUCCCUCGGCUCAACUGAGGAAUGUCGAUCGAUACUGCUGUUCUUGAGGAUUGCAGAGGAGACUGGAAUUCCCGGUGUAGCGGUGAAAUGUGUAGAGAUCGGGAGG